ACCUGUCUGGCUCAGUCAGUAGAGCAUGUGACUUUUGAUCUCAGGGUUGUGAGUUCGAGUUCCAUGUUGGGGA
RNAcentral lists this transfer RNA (73 nucleotides) under Mustela putorius furo (domestic ferret). It matches the Rfam family "tRNA". Rfam says of the family: Transfer RNA (tRNA) molecules are approximately 80 nucleotides in length. Their secondary structure includes four short double-helical elements and three loops (D, anti-codon, and T loops). Lineage: Eukaryota; Metazoa; Chordata; Mammalia; Carnivora; Mustelidae. The record is from Rfam by way of RNAcentral. RNAcentral also lists the same sequence under 1 other name.